This 392-nucleotide ribosomal RNA is filed under the name uncultured bacterium. RNAcentral describes it as "partial 16S ribosomal RNA". It matches the Rfam family "Bacterial small subunit ribosomal RNA", at positions 523 to 918 of the family's 1533-position model. The record is from RNAcentral.
AUACGGAGGAUCCGAGCGUUAUCCGGAUUUAUUGGGUUUAAAGGGUGCGCAGGCGGCCAUUUAAGUCAGCGGUUAAAUCGUGGGGCUCAACCCCAUUCUGCCGUUGAUACUGGGUGGCUUGAUUGCGGUCGAGGUUGGCGGAAUUCGUUGUGUAGCGGUGAAAUGCAUAGAUAUGACGAAGAACACCGAUUGCGUAGGCAGCUGACCAGACCGCAAAUGACGCUCAUGCACGAAAGUGCGGGGAUCGAACAGGAUUAGAUACCCUGGUAGUCCGCACAGUAAACGAUGAACACUUGUUUUCGGCGAUAUAAUGUCGGAGGCAAAGCGAAAGCGAUAAGUAUUCCACCUGGGGAGUACGCCGGCAACGGUGAAACUUAAAGGAAUUGACGGGG